This 676-nucleotide ribosomal RNA is filed under the name Arthrobacter sp. AS16. RNAcentral describes it as "bacterial SSU rRNA". It matches the Rfam family "Bacterial small subunit ribosomal RNA", at positions 32 to 719 of the family's 1533-position model. The record is from RNAcentral. Lineage: Bacteria; Bacillati; Actinomycetota; Actinomycetes; Micrococcales; Micrococcaceae.
AACGCUGGCGGCGUGCUUAACACAUGCAAGUCGAACGAUGAUCUCCAGCUUGCUGGGGGGAUUAGUGGCGAACGGGUGAGUAACACGUGAGUAACCUGCCCUUGACUCUGGGAUAAGCCUGGGAAACUGGGUCUAAUACCGGAUAUGACUCCUCAUCGCAUGGUGGGGGGUGGAAAGCUUUUGUGGUUUUGGAUGGACUCGCGGCCUAUCAGCUUGUUGGUGGGGUAAUGGCCUACCAAGGCGACGACGGGUAGCCGGCCUGAGAGGGUGACCGGCCACACUGGGACUGAGACACGGCCCAGACUCCUACGGGAGGCAGCAGUGGGGAAUAUUGCACAAUGGGCGGAAGCCUGAUGCAGCGACGCCGCGUGAGGGAUGACGGCCUUCGGGUUGUAAACCUCUUUCAGUAGGGAAGAAGCCGCAAGGUGACGGUACCUGCAGAAGAAGCGCCGGCUAACUACGUGCCAGCAGCCGCGGUAAUACGUAGGGCGCAAGCGUUAUCCGGAAUUAUUGGGCGUAAAGAGCUCGUAGGCGGUUUGUCGCGUCUGCUGUGAAAGACCGGGGCUCAACUCCGGUUCUGCAGUGGGUACGGGCAGACUAAAGUGCAGUAGGGGAGACUGGAAUUCCUGGUGUAGCGGUGAAAUGCGCAGAUAUCAGGAGGAACACCGAUUGCGAA